Brassica napus (rape) is the source of this 1662-nucleotide RNA transcript. RefSeq lists it as uncharacterized. The record is from RefSeq and is a predicted model, not a curated record. The transcript is spliced from 3 exons. Lineage: Eukaryota; Viridiplantae; Streptophyta; Magnoliopsida; Brassicales; Brassicaceae.
UCCCGGUUUGAGCUUGAUCUCCGCCUCUAGCUCUCGUUCUCUCAAUCCUCGAUUCCAGAUCUUUGUUGCUUUUCCAUCCCCUCGGUUAGGGUUGUUGGUGUCUCCAAGCUUCUUCUUAUCAUUUAAGAUGCUUUGAUUAUCAUGCAUGGAAAUCGAUAGUUAGAUCGACUGAUUUGAUUGAAGAUGUUUAGGCGGAAGCGAAGAUCCGUAGAUAUUGGUUUUGGCUCGUUGGCUGGCUCUCCUCAAAGACCUCUCUCGACUCCGGUUGAUUUGUUUUCUAUGGUGUCAGAGCUCCGACGACUUAACCUCCGUUGGUUUGGCGAGUUUAUGGUCUGAAGAUGUCUCGACGGUUCCUCUUUCUCUAUAACCUGUCUACAGUGUGUUCUUGUGAUCGUCGGAAAGUCACUCCGGCACAUCUUUCUAGCUGUUAAGUCGGUGGUCUCUUCGUGUGACGCAUGCAUCUAGUUGUCAGGAUAGUUGACACGUGUUGAUCCACUCACGCUAAUCAAUAAUGCAUGGUGUGCAAGUGGGCAACCGACUUUCUUUGGGCUUUUUUGUUGUGUGCUUUUGUUGGGUCUUUGUUUUUAUUUUGGCUUUUGCUUUUAUGUACUCGGUCUUUGAUUUUUUGGUACUUCUUCGGUUUGUUAAUAUUUCAAAGAUUGACAGAAAAAAAACAUUGAAAAUUAAGAAGAAAAAGAAAAAAACCCAAAAAACACUGCGUUUAAGUUUUUUUCGGAGGACGGUAAGAUUGAUCUUUGUUAUCGGCCCAGUCCAAUACGAUACUCCUUGGCCAUGUAAGACAGAUCGCUAUCACUAGAUAAACAAAAUAUCAGAACAGCCGUUGCACUACGCAGACAAAAUCUUAAUCCUGGAAGAUAUUUUCGACCACGAACCCAUCCCUACACCUUUGGUGAUAAACAAAUACCGUAAGACAGUCGUCUAUUGGGACGUGGAGGAUUACCCGGUUCCUAACGAUAUCUAUAUUGAUUCGCUUCGUAGGGAUAUAGAAUCGAUUCUUCUGGAUUUGGGCUGUGAGGAGGUGUCUAUUGUGGCUUACGUUUACAAGAAUAGGUUUUCGGAUGAACUGUAACGUAAAUUUAUGGAUGCCAAAUUUUUUGUCGAUUUCUUACCCGAGGGGGAUGAUGACUUUGCGAGAAUGACUUGGAUGUUAGUGGACAUUAUUUGUUUGCCCGUGGUAUUUCCUAAACCAAAUGUUAUCGUACUCUCAAAACACAUGGAAAAAGAGGCUGUUGGUUGUUUCCAAGGCAUGUAUUUUAACGGUGUUGGGGUUCUCUUAUCCAAAACUGAACCUGGCUGGCUUGUUCCUGAUGAGAGUUCAGCAUUUAAACUUACAAGGCUAUUUGAACAACGUCUUGACUGUGAGAAGCCGCAGAGAGAGGAUACCCUUGCAAACUCUGUCGGCGACUCUGUCAAGGACUACCCUUGUGCGCGCCUCCAAAGGGAGGCCAAUGUAUCUUCUUGAAAGUUUUAUGUUAACUGUGUUUCGACUGUGUGUCCGUCUUUGUAUAGCUGUUACUUUUUUUGGGUUUGAUGACAUGAGGGUUUGGAACAUAUAUUACUCCUUUGUCUUACUUUUUAACUAAACCCUGUUGCAAUGUGGCCUUUAGUUUAGAUGAUUGAAAGCAAACCCGUUUCUUUUAA